UCCCUCUUAGCUCAGUGGUAGAGCGUGUCACUCGUACCGUAAAUCGGUCUUAUGACAAGGUCAGUCGUUCAAUCCGGCUAGCGGGAA
This 87-nucleotide transfer RNA is filed under the name Armillaria solidipes. Its description in RNAcentral is "tRNA-Thr". It matches the Rfam family "tRNA". Rfam says of the family: Transfer RNA (tRNA) molecules are approximately 80 nucleotides in length. Their secondary structure includes four short double-helical elements and three loops (D, anti-codon, and T loops). Lineage: Eukaryota; Fungi; Basidiomycota; Agaricomycetes; Agaricales; Physalacriaceae. The record is from RNAcentral.